This 440-nucleotide ribosomal RNA is filed under the name uncultured bacterium. RNAcentral describes it as "bacterial SSU rRNA". It matches the Rfam family "Bacterial small subunit ribosomal RNA", at positions 54 to 475 of the family's 1533-position model. The record is from RNAcentral.
CAUGCAAGUCGAACGAACCAAUUCGCGAUUCUUCGGAUGAGCGAGGAGGUUAGUGGCAAACGGGUGAAUAACACGUUGGUGACCUGUCCCGAAGCGGGGAAUAACCCUUCGAAAGGAGGGCUAAUACCGCAUGUGCUUCGUGGGGUUAGAGGCCCACGAAGUAAAGCUUCGGCGCUUUGGGAGGGGCCUGCGGCCGAUUAGCUAGUUGGUGGGGUAAUGGCUCACCAAGGCGAUGAUCGGUAGCUGGUCUGAGAGGACGAUCAGCCACACUGGCACUGAGAUACGGGCCAGACUCCUACGGGAGGCAGCAGUGAGGAAUAUUGCGCAAUGGGCGAAAGCCUGACGCAGCGACGCCGCGUGGGUGAUGAAGGCCUUCGGGUCGUAAAGCCCUGUCAGGUGGGAAGAAACAUGUCGGUGCUAAUAUCACCGAUGUUUGACGG